CCCUGGCUUUCGCGGCCGGCUGAAGUAUUUUUUUCACCCAUGUCUUUUGCGCACUUGUUGUUUCCUGGGCGGGUUCGCCCGCCACCAGGACCAAACCAUAAACCUUUUUUUCUUAUGCAGUUUCCAUCAGCGUCAGUAAAAACAAUGUAAUUAUUACAACUUUCAACAACGGAUCUCUUGGUUCUGGCAUCGAUGAAGAACGCAGCGAAAUGCGAUACGUAUUGUGAAUUGCAGAAUUCAUUGAAUCAUCGAAUCUUUGAACGCACAUUGCGCCCUUUGGUAUUCCAAAGGGCAUGCCUGUUCGAGCGUCAUUUGUACCUUCAAGCUUUGCUUGGUGUUGGGCGUUUUUUUGUCUCCCUCUUUCUGGGAGACUCGCCUUAAAACGAUUGGCAGCCGGCCUACUGGUUUCGGAGCGCAGCACAUUUUUUGCGCUUUGUAUCAGGAGAAAAGGACGGUACUCCAUCAAGACUCUACAUUUUUCACUUUUGACCUCGGAUCAGGUAGGGAUACCCGCUGAACUUAAGCAUAUCAAUAAGCGGAGGAA
This 544-nucleotide ribosomal RNA is filed under the name Bipolaris oryzae. Its description in RNAcentral is "eukaryotic LSU rRNA". The stretch from base 158 to 311 matches the Rfam family "5.8S ribosomal RNA". The record is from RNAcentral. Lineage: Eukaryota; Fungi; Ascomycota; Dothideomycetes; Pleosporales; Pleosporaceae.